AUGGAAGUUCAAGAGCCAAAUCUCUUAACAUAUUGUCAAGUUCUUGCUGAUGCGGUUGUGAAAAGAAAUCUAGUUAAUUUCCCAGUGCAUUGGAUGCAUUGGACGAUAAGACCUCAUCUUCACCGGUUUGUCUAGUUCACUCAUGAAAAUGAAGCAAGGAUCUUCAAGAUAAGCAGAGAGAACAAUAGAAUUGCUCACAAACAGGCUCAUGAUGCUUAUAAUCUCUUCGAUGUUGUUACUUGCCUCUAUACUUGCUUAGGUGUGCGGCAUGAAGCAUCUAAAUGCCCUGUGAAAAGCUGUUCUCGGCUCUCUAAAUGUGCAAUCUUGCACAUUGGAUGUUAG
Molecule: ribosomal RNA, 342 nt
Filed under: Triticum aestivum (bread wheat)
Lineage: Eukaryota; Viridiplantae; Streptophyta; Magnoliopsida; Poales; Poaceae
Description: partial small subunit ribosomal RNA
Source: RNAcentral